CGAUAUUAGGAAUGAGUAAACACAGUUUUGUGCUUGCACAAAAAACUGUGUUUAUGAAAUGACUUAACGGACACGAGGAAAAAAAGACAUACGAACGAAGUGAGUGUGUCGAUUUCCGAGUGGACGUAGCAUGGCGAGAGCGAAGCAAAGCCAUGCGUAUAUCG
This 164-nucleotide small RNA is filed under the name Butyrivibrio proteoclasticus B316. RNAcentral describes it as "Clostridiales-1 RNA". It matches the Rfam family "Clostridiales-1 RNA". The record is from Rfam by way of RNAcentral. Lineage: Bacteria; Bacillati; Bacillota; Clostridia; Lachnospirales; Lachnospiraceae.